UCUCCGUUCACCUUUUUUUGUGGUUAAUAAUAUUAAUCUUUAGUUACAAUUUCUCAUUCAAGCUACAUAAUAGGCAGAAUUGUCGGAUUAAGACAGUAGCGUGUUUUGAGGGAGAUCUGGCUGCUAUUUUUACCAGGUCUAGCUACCAUGUAGAGGUUUUCCU
This is a long non-coding RNA of Octopus sinensis (East Asian common octopus), 163 nucleotides long. RefSeq lists it as uncharacterized. Lineage: Eukaryota; Metazoa; Mollusca; Cephalopoda; Octopoda; Octopodidae. The record is from RefSeq and is a predicted model, not a curated record. The transcript has 3 exons.